UACAGAGGGUGCGAGCGUUAAUCGGAAUUACUGGGCGUAAAGCGCGCGUAGGCGGCUUUGUAAGUCGGUUGUGAAAUCCCCGGGCUUAACCUGGGAACUGCAUCCGAGACUGCAUGGCUAGAGUAUGGGAGAGGGAAGUGGAAUUUCAGGUGUAGCGGUGAAAUGCGUAGAUAUCUGAAGGAACAUCAGUGGCGAAAGCGACUUCCUGGACCAAUACUGACGCUCAUGUGCGAAAGCGUGGGGAGCAGACAGG
RNAcentral lists this ribosomal RNA (253 nucleotides) under uncultured bacterium. Its description in RNAcentral is "partial 16S ribosomal RNA". It matches the Rfam family "Bacterial small subunit ribosomal RNA", at positions 524 to 776 of the family's 1533-position model. The record is from RNAcentral.